AACGAACGCUGGCGGCAUGCCUAACACAUGCAAGUCGAACGAGACCUUCGGGUCUAGUGGCGCACGGGUGCGUAACGCGUGGGAAUCUGCCCCUCGGUUCGGAAUAACAGUUAGAACUGACUGCUAAUACCGGAUGAUGACUUCGGUCCAAAGAUUGAUCGCCGAGGGAUGAGCCCGCGUAAGAUUAGGUAGUUGGUGGGGUAAAGGCCUACCAAGCCGACGAUCUUUAGCUGGUCUGAGAGGAUGAUCAGCCACACUGGGACUGAGACACGGCCCAGACUCCUACGGGAGGCAGCAGUGGGGAAUCUUAGACAAUGGGGGAAACCCUGAUCUAGCCAUGCCGCGUGAUCGAUGAAGGCCUUAGGGUUGUAAAGAUCUUUCAGGUGGGAAGAUAAUGACUGUACCACCAGAAGAAGCCCCAGCUAACUCCGUGCCAGCAGCCGCAGUAA
RNAcentral lists this ribosomal RNA (449 nucleotides) under uncultured bacterium. RNAcentral's name for it is "partial 16S ribosomal RNA". It matches the Rfam family "Bacterial small subunit ribosomal RNA", at positions 29 to 523 of the family's 1533-position model. The record is from RNAcentral.